Molecule: ribosomal RNA, 912 nt
Filed under: uncultured archaeon
Lineage: Archaea
Description: bacterial SSU rRNA
Rfam family: Archaeal small subunit ribosomal RNA
Source: RNAcentral
UUCCGGUUGAUCCUGCCGGACCUGACUGCUAUCGGAUUGGUACUAAGCCAUGUGAGUCAUUGUAGCAACAAGGCAGACGGCUCAGUAACACGUAGUCAACCUACCCUAUGGACGAGAAUAACCUCGGGAAACUGAGGAUAAUUCUCGAUAGAUCAUAACUCCUGGAACGGUUUAUGGUAAAAAUGAUUCGUCGCCGUAGGAUGGGACUGCGGCCUAUCAGCUUGUUGGUGAGGUAAUGGCCCACCAAGGCUAUUACAGGUACGGGCUCUGAGAGGAGAAGCCCGGAGAUGGGUACUGAGACACGGACCCAGGCCCUAUGGGGCGCAGCAGGCGAGAAACCUUUGCAAUGUGCGCAAGCACGACAAGGUUAAUCCGAGUGUUUCCUGCUAAAGGAAUCUUUUGUUAGUCGUAAAACCACUGAUGAAUAAGGGGUGGGCAAGUUCUGGUGUCAGCCGCCGCGGUAAAACCAGCACCUCAAGUGGUCAGGAGGAUUAUUGGGCCUAAAGCAUCCGUAGCCGGCUCUGCAAGUUUUCGGUUAAAUCCACUUGCUCAACAAAUGGGCUGCCGAAAAUACUACAUAGCUAGGGAGUGGGAGAGGUAGACGGUAUUCGGUAGGAAGGGGUAAAAUCCUUUGAUCUAUUGAGGACCACCUAUGGCGAAGGCAGUCUACCAGAACACGUUCGACGGUGAGGGAUGAAAGCUGGGGGAGCAAACCGGAUUAGAUACCCGGGUAGUCCCAGCUGUAAACGAUGCAGACUCGGUGAUGCACUGGCUUGUGGCCAGUGCAGUGCCGCAGGGAAGCCGUUAAGUUUGCCGCCUGGGAAGUACGUACGCAAGUAUGAAACUUAAAGGAAUUGGCGGGGGAGCACCACAAGGGGUGAAGCCUGCGGUUCAAUUGGAUUCAACGCCGGA